CUGACACAGGGAGGUAGUGACGAGAAAUAACAAUGCCGGGCUCUUUCGAGUCUGGCAAUUGGAAUGAGAACAAUUUAAAUCCCUUAUCGAGGAUCCAUUGGAGGGCAAGUCUGGUGCCAGCAGCCGCGGUAAUUCCAGCUCCAAUAGCGUAUAUUAAUGUUGUUGCAGUUAAAAAGCUCGUAGUUGGAUUCCUGGCUUGGGGUAACCGGUCCGUCUAGCAAUAGAUGCGCACUGUGUGGCCUCGGCCAUCCUUGGGGAGAGCGGUUCUGGCAUUCAGUUGUCGGGGCCGGGAUCCCUAACGUUUACUGUGAAAAAAUCAGAGUGUUCAACGCAGGCUUACGCCUUGAAUACAUUAGCAUGGAAUAAUGAGAUAGGACCUUGGCGGUCUAUUUUGUUGGUUUGCACGCCGAGGUAAUGAUUAACAGGGACGGUUGGGGUUCUUCGUAUUCAAUUGUCAGAGGUGAAAUUCUUGGAUUUAUGGAAGACGAACUGCUGC
RNAcentral lists this ribosomal RNA (496 nucleotides) under uncultured Pelagophyceae. Its description in RNAcentral is "SSU rRNA". It matches the Rfam family "Eukaryotic small subunit ribosomal RNA", at positions 451 to 946 of the family's 1831-position model. The record is from RNAcentral. Lineage: Eukaryota; Pelagophyceae.